Molecule: long non-coding RNA, 5508 nt
Organism: Ostrea edulis (European flat oyster)
Lineage: Eukaryota; Metazoa; Mollusca; Bivalvia; Ostreida; Ostreidae
Exons: 2
Source: RefSeq, a predicted model, not a curated record
CAGCAUUUGCUCCAAUGAUAGGUUGCAUUGGUAAACUAGAUCGUUAUAACGAACAUAGAAUUCGCUAAAUGCUGACUUUAAACGAGACUGUUGAAACCCCUGUACCAUUAACUUGUUUGCCAGUAGCCUGCCUCGAUUUAAAAACUGACCAUACGUAGAACAAUCCCUUGCGUGUUGAAUCAGUUGAAAGAUAUAACACCAUAUGCAGGUGAUAAUGGAAUAUUGCUACAUAAAUAUUGGGAAGUUGACGAUGAAGAAGCUGAAAUCAUACCGUUUGUCAUAAAGUUGAGUUGUUAGUUUGCCGUGAACUUCCACUUUCCAUAAAAUAUCUAAGUAUGAAGAGAAGUGGACGACACCGUGGUGUCUUUUAUUUCGAGUUCACGGGGAUAUAUCAAAUCGACAUAUGAAUGAAAGUUAUUAAUGUUAAUAGACAAAACGUCGUCGAUGUAUCUAAAUGUCGAAUUGAAGGCCAUAGCAAGAGAAUUUUUCUUCUCACAAAGAAGUUUUGAAUAAAUUCUGCUUCAAAGGAAUAUAAAACAGGUCAGCUACUGUAACAAUGUAGCACAAUCUGUGCCUAUGGGAAUUCCAAAAGACCUGAUCACCAAAGACCAUGACGAUAUUGUCAAUGAGGAACUCCAACAUAUUUUUUUUAUUUCAACUUCAGAGUACUUGUGCGUGAAAUCAGAGUGGUGUUCAAGUAAUUUUUUGAAUGACUGAUCACUAGAUAUGAAUAUUUGCGUUUUCUAUUUUUGUUGAAGAAGCAACUGUCUAUGAUGUCCGAAAGUCGAGUCUUUAAUUUAUCGCGAGGAAUGGUUGUGUAAAGUGUUGAAAAGUCAUACGUUUUGAUGUUGAUCUGAGGAAAGUUUUGCGAUUUCAAGUUUGCUAAAAGUUCAUUAGAACUUUUUAGAAUCCUCAUUUGAUUUACAACAUAUCUGGCAUAUGUAGUGGCACAGUACGUUUGAAGUUUCUCCUUCACAGCUGUUAAUAUUUUCGUGAGGAGUAAAGAUAUAUCCCAGUGAACUCGAAAUAAAAGACAACACAGUGUUUUCCACAUCUGCUUGGUACUUAGAUAUGUUAUUGAACAUAGUCAUUAACGACACACUAACAACUCAACUGUAUGACAAACGGGAUGAUUUCAGCUUUUCCAUCGUCAACUUCCCAAUAUUUAUGUAGCAAUAUUCCAUUAUCACCUGCAUUUGGUGUUAACCUCUCUCAACUGAUUGGAUACGCAAGAGCUUUUUUUUUUUAAAUCGAAUCGGGCUACUGACAAAUAAGAUAUCGUGACAGGGGUUUCUACAGUCUCCUUGAAAGUCAGCAUGUCGCAAAUUCUAUAGUUGUUAUAACGAUCUAGUUUGCCAAUACAACUUGGCAUUGGGUCAUAUGCUGUCUGACGUUCUUGAACCAUUCUUUGCACACUGGUUUCGACUACGGGUUGCUUUGUUUACCUGAUCAAGAUAUAGGGCUCACGGCGGGUGUGACCGGUCCACAGGGGAUGCUUACUCCUCCUAUGAACCUAAGCCUACCUCUGGUAUAUUCAGGGGUCCGUGUUUGCCCAAAUCUUCAUCUUAUGUUCCUUAUAGAAGUUAUGAGAUUGACAACUGUUCGUUAUCUUCACAUUUUUCUUAUAUUCUACUAAUACUCUGUAUAUUCUAUGAAUAAUCUGUAUAUUCUAUUAAAACUCUGUAUACUCGAUUAAUGUUCUGUCCAUUCUAUCAAUACUCUGUAUAUUCUAUUAAUACUCUGUAUACUAUAUUAAUACUCUUUGUAUUCUAUUAACACUGUAUGUCCUAUUAAUACUUUGUAUAUUCUAUUAAUACUCUUUUUAUUCUAUUAAUAUUCUGUACAUUCUAUUAAUACUCUGUAUAUUAUAUUAAUACUUUGUAUAUUCUAUUAACACUCGGUGUACUCUAUUAAUACUCUGUAUAUUACAUGUAUAUUAAUACCAUCUCUAAAAUUCCGUUUGCAACACAGAGAAAUAAGACCCCCCUGCGGUUUGUCACUGUCCUAUAACAAAGUUAUUUCAACAAUACGGUAUCAGUAUCUAUUGGGGGAGAUUAAGAAUAUUCGGGGCGUAUAAAGACCAAUGUCAAAAGAAUGCCAUUUGUUAUUUUUCCUAGUUACUUUACCGUGAAGAGAAUCCAAAGUUCACAUUUAUAAUUAGAAUGUGCAAUCUUAAAUGUGAACGUGUCCCAUGAGAAGAAUUAGGCCCAUUAGGACAAAUCUACUUCUUUUCAAUAAAACAAUUCUAAUGCUGAUACAAUAACAGAAAAAUUACCCAGGCUUAGCCGUAAAUUCUGCAAGAAAAAUAUCAUGUACUUCAUUAACAGAUGCGUGUUAAAUCAUAGGUAUCAUAGAAAUCUACAUGUAUCCGAUUGAACAAAUGAGAGUGGUUUUUGUAUGGCGGUCUUCUUAACAGAAGUUGUUUACAUUUGUUGUUUUUUUUUAAAUUUGAGAAUGCAAAAUCCGGAGAUAAAAAAAGAAAAGCAAGCCUGUUCAUGAUAAAUACUAGGACUUUAUUUCGAUAAAUGGAAAGUGUUACACAGAGACAUUUCUAUUUUAUAGUAGUUUGAUAUACGGUUGAGUUAUUCGAAGAAGCCCUCAUAUUGUGUGUAAUGGGGCCCUAUACGGCUCAGUGAAGGAACAGAUCUAUACUUGUCUUCUUUAUUCUAAUGAAAAGUUCACAAUUAUAUAUAUUAAUAUAUAUGUAUAUACCAUUGACAACUUAACACUUAAUGAUCAAGUAGCUGUCACAAAAUCACGUGACGUACGUAGAAUAUCAAGCUAAAAUUCAAUUUGACCACAUGACCAAGAAAAAAAAUCACGUGAUCCCAAAAGUUGAUAAAAUAUCAACUUUGUUUUACAUGUCAACACAUAGCGAUAAAACAUAUAUUGAAAUUAUUUCAAUAUGAAGCCGAUUUUAGUAAGUUUAUCCAAGCUAAACGUUGAAAUCAUUUCAAUGCGACAAAGACAUUAAAAAUCUACCGAUUACAUCUCAUAUGGACUUCAAAGAAAUGAAGCUAUUCUCGACACGGUCAUUUUUUAUGACAAACAACACCAAUAUAAAUAUCAGCUUAAAUAUAUAUUCAUAUCCAGAUUUAUCUGUGAACUGUGUGUUACAUAGAGUCAAAAAUUAUUCAGAAAACUGACUUGAAUUAAUCACAGAUUGAUAAAUGAUUCAAAGAAAACAGUAUUCCUAAUUAACUAUGAGUUCCAAAGAAAAACCUGCUAUCUCCGACAGAGGUAAUAAAAAAUAUUGCACCCACCCCACAUAUACGUAUAAUACAGAUAGUACCUAUAGUGUUGUUCUACCAUCUCACUGACAAUAUUGAUUGAAAAAAGGGUAUAUUAGGAUCAGUCAAUAUAUGUGUUUUGAAACACACAGUACACUAAAAUAAUUUAUAAACAUAACUAUGAUGUACAAUCGAUAAUAGGAAAUGGAAGCGAAUCCAUUUUCUGUUUUACCACAGCACUUUUAUAAACACAUUACACAAUAUAAUCAAUUCAGCCAGGACAAGUGUUGUUGGUUUGCCAUUUCACAGAAAGAUAGUAUGAUGGAGUCUUUACACUGAUAAAGAGUCCACAACAUCAGAAAUUUGCGAAAUAGAAAACAUACAUCAUAACCGUUUUUCAGUGAUUAUGCAUCACUUCAAAAGGGUUAAAGGUGAAUCCAAAAGCAUGACCCUGUUGCUAUAGUUACAUGGUCCCAAUAUGCAAAAAAGCAACAGAGUACAUGCCGUAAUACAGAGACCGGAAGUGGUUGGGAUAAGCGUAAACUAAUUACUAAGUAAAUUCAUGACAAAUAAUACACAUACUUCAUAUCACACAUACGAGGAAAUUGGAACGGGCGUCCACAGUUAGACUAUUUGCCUCCUUUUUGCUUAUAAAUAACACAGACAUUCACUAUAUGGCUAAAUAGCAAGCAGAGGAAACACAUUCGUUCAAACAUGAUUGGAUGACCUACACAACGACAAUACAAAGAAUUGUAAGCAAACACUUGUGGUAUUCGCUUCUCAGAAAAAAAUGUCUAUUUGAAAGGUAUUCUCAUUAAGCCGGAUCUUAUCUAUCUAAAUAAAUAAUUUGAAAAUUGUCAGUUAGCCCUUUAGAUUUCAGUUUACACCAAGAAGACAAUGGUGGAAAUUGUGUUAUAAAUAGACAAUACAAAGAGUUACAGCCACAAAACCAUUGUUACGAAUUACACCAAGUUGGAUGUAUAAGUGUCUUAGCCAUGCAUGAAUCACGUUUUUGACCUCUAUGUUGACAAACACACUAUCGAAGGUACAUAAUCAAAGGCCCAGAGCAUUGUAAAGUUACCAUGGUUAUAAUUUCGUAGUCUACGGUGACUCAAAAUGGUAAAACAUUCUCUCAACUGACGAGCCAUGUCAUGUCUCUCUUUCACUCAAUUGAAACCUAACCUAUCACUUUGUGAAAAUUCUAUCACUUACAUUAUGCAUUCAAUAUUGUAUGUGUGCAUGCACAUUUUCAUAUGUUGUGAGCAGCAAUACCGUCAAAAUUUAAAUUCUGCCAAGAUAAAGAUCUGAGUGUACACUGGCAGUGAAAAAAAAUGUCUGUGACACUCGCAUCUAACAUAAUUGCACAUGAAUCAAGCCUUUGUGAGAUUCAUCAGGCAUACGACAAUCCCAUAUGUUCUCAUGUAUGGUCUUGCUUUUGUUGUGUGUAAGUGUUUUACGUCCAAAAGGCGCGAAAUUUUGGCUCCAUCUAAUACAAGCCACAUCCACGCAGAUUAUUGGCUAUAAUGACGUCAGUAACGGCAUCAAAUACAAACUGGAUGUUAUUGGUAUCUGUUGCGCAUGUCUGGUGGCAGUAUAUCUCCUUCGUUGAACUUUUGUUCUUCGCUUCGAAUUGGGCCUGAAUGUAGGCGGCUGCCUCCUCGUAUGUCUGGUUUCCUACGAAGAAAAUGAAUUUUUGUUUAUGAGCUUAAACCUUCAAUGUCUAAGAUUACCGCUUCAAAACAUUUACGUAUAAUAAGAAAAUAAGUCCAUCUGGGACAUUCCACAAAGCAUAUGACAAAUGAGCACCAAUGUUGAUAUAUCAUCCAGAUCUCCCAUGCGACAUUAAGUAGUACUGCAACACGUUAUAAAAUGUCGAAAAUGCAUACUGCCUUUUCUUCAAUCAAACCUUUAGGUUAAGAACGGAAGAAAAGAAAACAUCUAUCUUAUAGAUAACAAAUAGGACUGGGGCAAAUACUGUAUCCAUUAAAACUUCCGGUCUUGAGAAAUAGAAUUAAAAGAUAGAAUAGAAUAGAAUAUUUAUACAGUGUUCAUUUGGAUCAAUUCUAUUUCUAUGUACAAUUUAUUUUUUUUUUAAAAUUGCUAACUUCACAUAUAGCAUUACAAGAACCGGUAAAGAAGAAAGGCCAAAUUCUCUCUCUCUCUCUCUCUCUCUCUCUCUCUCUCUCUCUUAAUCAUUAGUCAUCUUUGGUGUGUUUUUAAUGCAUUAUAUACUUAGAAAUAAUUUUCAAUGUUGAAUUGAUUCAUGUGAAGAUUGACU